Molecule: ribosomal RNA, 1116 nt
Filed under: Cellulomonas sp. GS11
Lineage: Bacteria; Bacillati; Actinomycetota; Actinomycetes; Micrococcales; Cellulomonadaceae
Description: bacterial SSU rRNA
Rfam family: Bacterial small subunit ribosomal RNA
Source: RNAcentral
GGGAUAACUACCGGAAACGGUGGCUAAUACCGGAUAUGAGGUGCCUGGGCAUCUGGGCGCCUGGAAAGUUUUUCGGUCAGGGAUGGGCUCGCGGCCUAUCAGCUUGUUGGUGGGGUGAUGGCCUACCAAGGCGACGACGGGUAGCCGGCCUGAGAGGGCGACCGGCCACACUGGGACUGAGACACGGCCCAGACUCCUACGGGAGGCAGCAGUGGGGAAUAUUGCACAAUGGGCGCAAGCCUGAUGCAGCGACGCCGCGUGCGGGAUGACGGCCUUCGGGUUGUAAACCGCUUUCAGCAGGGAAGAAGCGCAAGUGACGGUACCUGCAGAAGAAGCGCCGGCUAACUACGUGCCAGCAGCCGCGGUAAUACGUAGGGCGCAAGCGUUGUCCGGAAUUAUUGGGCGUAAAGAGCUCGUAGGCGGUUUGUCGCGUCUGCUGUGAAAUCCUCAGGCUCAACCUGGGGCUUGCAGUGGGUACGGGCAGACUAGAGUGCGGUAGGGGUGACUGGAAUUCCUGGUGUAGCGGUGGAAUGCGCAGAUAUCAGGAGGAACACCGAUGGCGAAGGCAGGUCACUGGGCCGCAACUGACGCUGAGGAGCGAAAGCAUGGGGAGCGAACAGGAUUAGAUACCCUGGUAGUCCAUGCCGUAAACGUUGGGCACUAGGUGUGGGGUCCAUUCCACGGAUUCCGUGCCGCAGCAAACGCAUUAAGUGCCCCGCCUGGGGAGUACGGCCGCAAGGCUAAAACUCAAAGAAAUUGACGGGGGCCCGCACAAGCGGCGGAGCAUGCGGAUUAAUUCGAUGCAACGCGAAGAACCUUACCAAGGCUUGACAUACACCGGAAAAGUGCAGAGAUGUGCUCCCCGUAAGGUCGGUGUACAGGUGGUGCAUGGUUGUCGUCAGCUCGUGUCGUGAGAUGUUGGGUUAAGUCCCGCAACGAGCGCAACCCUCGUCCCAUGUUGCCAGCGGGUUAUGCCGGGGACUCAUGGGAGACUGCCGGGGUCAACUCGGAGGAAGGUGGGGAUGACGUCAAAUCAUCAUGCCCCUUAUGUCUUGGGCUUCACGCAUGCUACAAUGGCCGGUACAAAGGGCUGCGAUACCGCGAGGUGGAGCGAAU